Molecule: long non-coding RNA, 1493 nt
Organism: Glycine soja
Lineage: Eukaryota; Viridiplantae; Streptophyta; Magnoliopsida; Fabales; Fabaceae
Exons: 2
Source: RefSeq, a predicted model, not a curated record
UCUAUUGGUGUGUGUAUCAAUUUGAAAUUUGAAAUUCAAAUUGCAAGAGAUACACUCACAAGUUCCUUCCUCUUUUUCAAGUAUCCCCUUUCUUCUUCCCAAAAAGCUCUCAACGUAGAAACUUUUCGAUUAUCGGCUCCAAUUCCAUUUCCGACCUCCUCAGCUAGCGGUUUGAGAAAAUAAAUCGAUCAACAUGCUUCUCAUCCUCUCCUCUUCAUUUCUCCUAUUUUUAAAAUUCUUUUAGAGAAAUCCCCAGCUUGGUUAAAUCCAAAACCUCUCUCUUCUUUUCUAUAGGUCUCAACGAAGACCGCACCUAUCGAAAAGCUAUUAACCUAGCAAGAACAUGGGCUCACAUCAAAAAAGCUUCAUUGGAUCAUUUUUCAUUUGAAACUAUAAAGCCUUUUUCAAGAUGAGGGUUUUCUUUUCUUUGUUUCUCUUAUUUUCAAGAUGCAUUUUUAUUUUGUGAAAUUGAUGUUAAUGUUUUUGUUUUGAUUUUGCAAAAUUUGCAAGAUAUGCGUUUGAUAUAUGAUUUAGCUUUAUUUUAUUGAGUCUACCUAAGAAGAAAGAUUUAGUUAUUAUGCAGAAAAUAGUUUUGGAGCAUUCUUAUAUAGGACCUUUCUUAUUAGUAUGUACAUGUCCAGGUCCUUCUAACACCAUUGAUUUGAUUACAUACUAUGUUUGCUGAUUUGUAUUAGAAGUGUUUGUAUCACAAUGUCACUUAUGUUUCUAAUAUUUUAUUUUCAUUUUACCAACUUCACAAGAAGACAAAAUCAUAUAUGUUUUAUUGUGGAGGUUUGUAGAGACAAAUCUAAAUCUAUACUAGCACAUUUCUUCCUUCAUUUUUUUUAUUCUUCCUUUGUCCUUUUUUAUCUCAAGUUUCUUUUUUUUUUUUUUCUUUUCAACUUCUGCAGGAAUUUCUGCCUUUGCCCCUCCCUCUUCUCUUUGCCAACAUGUUUUGUGUCAGAUGAAGAAACAUCAUUUCCUUCUCCGUUUAAAAAUAGCAAGCACAAGACCUAGAGUCAUAUUCAGAUAUCAUGAAGGCCAAAUUUUGGUUGCAACUACUCAUUUCCUUCCACAUUCUUACAGUAUAUAGGAAGCUUGAGGCCCUAGCACUGAGAUGGAGUAUUGAGAUGACUACUACUUUGCAUUUCAUGUUAUUUAUGAGAGAAAUUGUUAAGAGGUUUCACAGGCUUGGAAAAAGAGGUUUGCGCACAAUCUUAUUUAUUUUGAUGUGAUUAUAUGUUACUUUCAAUGGCUAAAUUAUGCAUCAAAAUGGCUCACUGAGUUUGUUAUGUGCGAGAAGAAUGGGCAACAAAGAGUUUGAUGCCUUGGCUUCUUUAACUUUUUGGUCUAAGGAUAGUUAUUGGAUAGAAGAGGUUGUUCCUCAAGUGUCAAAUAUUGUCCAUGUUGAUGUAUUAAACUAUUUUGACCCAAUACAAUGUUCUCUCUUUAAAACAAAGUUGGUCUCUAUCAUAUUUUUGUCCCUUCAUGAA